UACAGAGGUGGCGAGCGUUGUUCGGAUUUACUGGGCGUAAAGGGCGCGUAGGUGGUUUCGUGUGUCGGACGUGAAAUCUCACUGCUCAACGGUGAAACUGCGUUCGAAACUGCGGGACUUGAGUGCAGGAUAGGAGAGCGGAAUUCUUGGUGUAGCAGUGAAAUGCGUUGAUAUCAAGAGGAACACCGGUGGCGAAGGCGGCUCUCUGGAAUGCUACUGACACUGAGGCACGAAAGUUGGGGGAGCAAACAGG
RNAcentral lists this ribosomal RNA (253 nucleotides) under uncultured bacterium. Its description in RNAcentral is "partial 16S ribosomal RNA". It matches the Rfam family "Bacterial small subunit ribosomal RNA", at positions 524 to 776 of the family's 1533-position model. The record is from RNAcentral.